This 253-nucleotide ribosomal RNA is filed under the name uncultured bacterium. RNAcentral describes it as "partial 16S ribosomal RNA". It matches the Rfam family "Bacterial small subunit ribosomal RNA", at positions 524 to 776 of the family's 1533-position model. The record is from RNAcentral.
GACAGAGGUGCCAAGCGUUAGGCGGAAUCACUGGGCUUAAAGCGUGUGUAGGCGGAAUGGUAAGUACCUUGUGAAAUCCCACAGCUCAACUGUGGAACUGCUCGGUAUACUGCUUUUCUUGAGCCACUUAGGGGCUGUCGGAACAAACGGUGGAGCGGUGAAAUGCGUAGAUAUCGGGAGGAACACCAGUAGCGAAGGCGGCACUCUGGGCCGGCAUUGACGCUGAGGCGCGAAAGCGUGGGGAGCGAACAGG